AUUGAACGCUGGCGGAAUGCUUUACACAUGCAAGUCGAACGGCAGCACGGACUUCGGUCUGGUGGCGAGUGGCGAACGGGUGAGUAAUGUAUCGGAACGUGCCCAGUCGUGGGGGAUAACGUAGUGAAAAUUACGCUAAUACCGCAUACGAUCUAUGGAUGAAAGCGGGGGAUCGCAAGACCUCGCGCGAUUGGAGCGGCCGAUAUCAGAUUAGGUAGUUGGUGGGGUAAAGGCCCACCAAGCCAACGAUCUGUAGCUGGUCUGAGAGGACGACCAGCCACACUGGAACUGAGACACGGUCCAGACUCCUACGGGAGGCAGCAGUGGGGAAUUUUGGACAAUGGGCGAAAGCCUGAUCCAGCCAUUCCGCGUGCAGGAUGAAGGCCCUCGGGUUGUAAACUGCUUUUGUACGGAACGAAAAGGUUUCUACUAAUACUAGGAGCUCAUCACGGUACUGUAAGAAUAAGCACCGGCUAACUACGUGCCAGCCGCCGCGGUAC
Molecule: ribosomal RNA, 500 nt
Filed under: uncultured bacterium
Lineage: Bacteria
Description: partial 16S ribosomal RNA
Rfam family: Bacterial small subunit ribosomal RNA
Source: RNAcentral